This 1237-nucleotide long non-coding RNA is filed under the name Apteryx owenii (little spotted kiwi). Its description in RNAcentral is "lncRNA (ENSAOWG00000012921.1)". Lineage: Eukaryota; Metazoa; Chordata; Aves; Apterygiformes; Apterygidae. The record is from RNAcentral.
AUGUUUGGGCGUUCAGCCUCACAGAUGAAGUGGCUGAGAUCUUCUGGAGCCCUGAUCUGCUCUGAAGUGCCAGCUGCUGAAAAGCCGGCGUCUCCUCCAGUCGGUGACCCCAGUGAUCCUGCUGCUGCCUGUGCAUCUUCUGUGCCGCCUCUGCUGUCCCUAACUGGAGCUUCAGACUGUCUCUGUCUAACUGGUUCUCAUCUGUUGACACAAGCAAAGGUGAUGCAGACACCUGCAUUUCAAUGUCUGCACGUCAGUGUCUCCUUGUGAAUCAGGUUUUGAGCUCUCACGAUAGUCCCUGGAGAGCUGGUUCAUGCAGGACUUGGAUCUAAGAGCCUGGUGGCUUUUGCAGUGCCCUGGGAUGUAUCACCUGAGCUCUAGGUGCUCCUCCAGACAGGCACUGGCCUCAAAAAUGGCCUGUGUCAUAUCUGCAAGCUCCAUGUGGAUGUCUUGGAUGCUGCAGAGCAUUUCAGGCAGCAGGCAGCACCUGUAUGGGGGCAGCUGAAUCAAGUCCUACCAUCAACAGAGCAAUUCAGGUGACCAAGUGACUGCUUGUGUCAGUGUGAACUCAUUCACUCCAGUUUCCAGGGUCUAUUGAACAGAAAAGCUUUGCCAGUCUUUGGAGAUCAGAUGCCUGAUGCAUAUGCAUGUGUAGACACUUAUGCGUGGACUCCUAAAAUGUCUCUAAUCUUGAGCCAAAUCCUACCCAGACAAAAAAGUCAAAGGUCUCGACGUGUAUCAGUUGUUAAACAGCUAUUCCUGGGGUUGUCUGUCACCACUGAGUUUUUCCAGCAGAGCUGCAAACACCUGCUAGAACUGAAUUAACACUUUGCAGCCAGGUAGAUCAUAGCCCAAGAUGUAGCAGCUGGACAGUUUGCAGAUAUCUCCUUCAAUGGUGUGGCUUCUCACAGCUCCAUAAAUUUCAUGGGCUUAGAGAUGUUAGAGCAGCUGAGGCUCAGCCCUGGGGCUUUUAAAUCGAGAUUUCCUGCUGUGAUACAGAAUAUUCUGUAAGUGAGUUUCCAAAUCCUGUUCUAAGUGCAUGAAUUACUGGGGUGAGUUCAGUGGCCUGUGCUGUACAUGCCAGUUUAGAUUGCCAUUAUCAUCCUUCUCUACUCAAAACCUGAAAUUUCAACACAGAUCUCACCACUUCUUCAAAACCGUCAUGACACAGCCUUUCUCUCGGUAAAACUGUAGCUUUCAUAACAGAUUUCUCAAUAAAUAUCCUCUGUAUCAUUCA